CGGGGUGAGUAAUGUCUGGGAAACUGCCUGAUGGAGGGGGAUAACUACUGGAAACGGUAGCUAAUACCGCAUAACGUCGCAAGACCAAAGAGGGGGACCUUCGGGCCUCAUGCCAUCAUAUUUGCCCAGAUGGGAUUAGCUAGUAGGUGGGGUAACGGCUCACCUAGGCGACGAUCCCUAGCUGGUCUGAGAGGAUGACCAGCCACACUGGAACUGAGACACGGUCCAG
RNAcentral lists this ribosomal RNA (229 nucleotides) under uncultured bacterium. Its description in RNAcentral is "partial 16S ribosomal RNA". It matches the Rfam family "Bacterial small subunit ribosomal RNA", at positions 104 to 334 of the family's 1533-position model. The record is from RNAcentral.